Mustela erminea (ermine) is the source of this 5053-nucleotide long non-coding RNA. RefSeq lists it as uncharacterized. The transcript has 5 exons. NCBI's taxonomy places the organism in Eukaryota, Metazoa, Chordata, Mammalia, Carnivora, Mustelidae. The record is from RefSeq and is a predicted model, not a curated record.
AACUCGAUAGCACUGUUGGAAUAUUGCACGAGCCCAGGCCCUUUAAGCACUUAGCACGGUGCCUGGCAAGUGCUAAAUACCCAAGAAGUGUUUGCUCCUAUUAAUACACCUGCAUUUAUCUUAACGUAAAGAAGUCUACCACACGGUGCUGGAGGGCCGGGGAAGGACCUGAGGAGGAAGAUACUACAUUUGCUAUUCAACAAUGGAAGAAACUGAAUCUUUAUGCUAUCCAGCAACUCCUCAGGCUCUCACAGCUAAUGAGUUUCUGAAAGUUGGAGAAAUUCAGGGCAUGGAGUACUCAAGGUGAAAGAAAUGGCCUUCCUUUUCAAAAGCCAGCCUCCAGGAACACAUGGAAAUGAGGACAUCUGAGCUCAGAGAGAAAGGAACCAUGGAGAACCUUCUGGACACAGCUAUAUGGAGCAGAAAGAUGAUUUUCUUUCAUCUAGAAGAGCUUCAUAUUGGUUGCUUCCUCCUUGGACUCCCAAGCUUCCAAGGUGUACACACUUGGGUUGAUAGUUUAGCCCAUGGUCCCUCUAGUGUACACAUCUCACCUGCUCCCAAGAAUGUGUCUUUCCAGCUGCUAGACUGUAGGUUUCUUGAAAAAUAAAACAGUCAGAGUUUGUGCUAAGUUCUUCACAUAUCAUCCCAUUCUGUUCUCACAAUAAUCCCUCAAGAGGGGUAUUAGGAUCAUCCCCAUUUUUUUGUUUUUGUUUUGAAAUAAGUGAGGGCAUGGAGGUUAUGAUAACUUGCCUGAAGUCAUAGCGGGUUAGUGGUGGCCCUGGGCAAGCAAGAAGCUGGGAGUCAAGGGCCCACACCCUUCAUUACCCUCUAAGCCACUUUUCUACUAUGUGUGGUAUGGACGAUCGUGGCGAGGCAUCAAUGUACAUGUUGACUUGAGUUUCAGACACCUGCUUGCCAUUUUCUUAGUGCAACCUUGAAGGCAGUGAGAGAAUUGCUGGGGUGGGGGAGGGGACUAUCUACUCUCCUGCUACUCUCGCUCCUGGUUCUGGAUCAAAGUUAACAAUAACAUGGGGGUUAAUACAUUUGGUUUGAAACUUUGGUAUCUUACAUAUUUCUUUACCUUUGGGCCGGGGCCCUUCACCUAAUUCAUGAGACAUUUCUGACACCACUGUGCCUAUGGGGAGGCUCAGAAUGCGACCUGUGAUUACAUUUAUCUAAUUAACCAAAAACUCUCCCAAAUGACACUUCUCCAAGUCUAAAGAGUGGUGUUAAUGAAGUGGAAACCAUCAAAAACACUUCAGCUUAAUCCUAGGGAAACAGUUGAUGAGGCGCCACAGAGACCCAGGAUUAUUGCCCUCAUUAAAAGGUAAUUUAAAGCUGGCAUGGGUUUUGUGUUAGCAUCUUGAGUGUCUGUAAGCUGGGCCACCUGUUACUCUCAUGUGAUAGGACGAGGAGUGGGUGGGGGGCCCUGGCACUUACCCUCGCGUCAGAACAGCUCCCUUCUCUGAGGCUGUGGCCGCCGCCUCGAGCACGCUGGGGGCUUUCACUGAGAUCCGGGCCACCGGAGGAAUCUGCGUGGUGCAGAAGGGGAAGGGAAGAUGAGGAUGUGGCCAUGAUCCCAACUCUGGCAUUGACCGGAGCCAGUUGAAAGGGGGAUGUCUCCGUCCAUCCACCACCCAGGGCAAUAGUCCUUAAGCUUUGACUGGCAUCGAGACUCCCCUGCGGGGCUGGUCACCACCGUGCGUGGCCUACCCCAGUUUCUGAUCCAAUAGGUCUGACAUGGGCUUGAAAAUCUGCGUUUCUAACAAGUUCCUGGGUGCUGCCAGUCCCAGGACCCCACAUUGAGAACCACUGACCCAGAGAACCUGAGAGAGAGAGGGCGCACAACUCAAUUUUACCUGAAAACUCUGUCCCCUGCCCCUACCCCCAUUACCUGUGUCUACUUUGUUGUUAAAUCCUGCAGAUUCAUGCUUUGAAAGACUGCCUCGGGUAGUGCCAUCCUCCCCCAUCUCCUCUGCCACACACAGCCUUCCGAUCCAGUCACCUGGGAACUCCUUGCUUUGGACCAGCCCCACCACUGAGCGCAGCCCCACUGGAUUUGCAGUGCCUGCCCACGGCAGGUCAGACUGAGGCCAACUCUGGAAGCACAGGCUCCUCAGAACCCAGCUCUCCCUCAUCUAUGCAGCUCUACCUCUGUUAAUCCCCCGCGCAGCGCUGCAUCUUCCUUCGGCUUUUCCUUCAUCCUCUGGACAGAGCCUCGUUUCUGCCUGCCCUUCAGGGCCACUUCUUCCCGGAGGCCUUUCCUCAGGCUGGUGGCCCGAGUUGAUUUCUCUCGGUCCUCAUGCCCCAUGCCCCCACAGUACUGAGAACCUAUGUGACAUAUUUCAGCAAUUCCCCAGUUCUUUCUAUGGUUCGCUUCUUGUUUCAUAGGCUCCCAGUUCUCAGACAAGUGCUAUGAUGUGUGUCAGGGUCUGGCACUUAAUCCCUUUGGCAGUGCUCUGCAGCCUUCCUAGAGAUGGUGAGUGCUCAAGAAGCAUGACGACCUAACAAGGGUUAAAUUGGCUUAGUCAACAGACAUAUGCUAUGCUUUGUUCCUUCACCCCAACCCCACUGAAGGCUUAGGGUCACCACAUUCUUGAAAUUGCUGGGAAAUUCCAGGUUGAGGACAUGAUGAUUAACUGUCCCCUUCUCUCCCUAGCUGGCCAAAUGUUGUGGGCAGAGUUACUGUGCCACCUUGUGGCCUCUCGGGAGCUCUCCCUCCCCAUCGUGCCAACAGCCCAGCCCCGGGAACAUACACCGCCUCUCCUUCUCCACUGUCCUCAGUCCUCCUCCAGUACGUUGCAUCACUGAGUCAGAAUUAGCUGUACGAGCUCUGACUCAUUCUUCCAUCCUGGGAUAAGGGGCCUCUGAUCAACUGCAGGACCCCUGCUUCACUGUCUCAGGCUCAGGGGAAAGAGUCAGUCCUGCUGCCUUUUUUUUUGUCACUGUGUCCCCAUGACCAUCCUGUCCCAUCGCAAUUCCUUCUAGUCUCCCAGAAGCAGUUCUCUGCCAAGGCUACUAUGUGAGCCCAGCCCAGAGACUUGGAGCAGGUAAUCCAAGGAUGUGAGUCACCCUCCUCCCCUUAACUUUGGUCUUCUUCUGACCACAGCUAAGGGCAGCUCUUUGUGCUGUCACAGCCUGGAAAUCUGUGGCAAUGGCCCAGCCAUCCUCAGUUUCUCUUGAGGACUAGGUUGGGGCAGAGGGCUCCUGAUAAAACAGAUUGGCCCAUCUCUUCUCUUUCUGUGGUUCUCCUAGUACAGGGAUGACCUAAAUGAGGUAUUUGGAUUAGAUUUUCUGCUCAGAGAGGGAGCAAAGGGCUCACUGUCCAGUUUGUUUCAGAAUGAUGAGGGGGCUGGCCCACACAAUCUCCAGGGUCUUUUCUAGUCCUCACCUGGCACGAUCCACCCAUCUGGUGAGCUGCUGCUCACGGAGACCAGGGUGCCUGAGCUGACCUCACCUCUAGCCACGAUUCCACCCCUACUGUGCAAACCUAAAGGGUACCCACAUUCAUGCCCAGAAGAAGAUGCAGGAGAUUUUUUUCCCCUAGAGGGACCCUGAGCUAGAUCUGGAUGUGCACCCCCUGAUCUGCCUUCAAAGAAGGACAAGCUGCCACCAUGGGGGUGGCUCAUGUACCAUAAUGGAGCGAGGAGGAAACAAAGGCUUGGCCAUUUGGGCCCAACUCGGGACAAGGGGGAGGGGUAGCAAUGGCCCCAGAACUUCCGCCAGGAGGUAUCCCGUGUGCAUGGCAGUUCAGCCUCCUAGCGAUCUGAACUCCUUCCUCCUGUCACAGGUACUGAUCCCUAAUACAAAUCUCAUACCCCCUACCCUGCAUCUCAGAGUCUGCCUUCAGAGACCCCGACUGGGAACAGACGUCCUCCAGAGGUGUCCUGGGCACAGAUGCCUGGUGUUUCAUGUUUUCACAACAUUUAAGACCCUUGACAGGCAACUCUUGACCUCUUAGCUGCCCCUGGGAAUUAGUCAGGCGUGUCCACCUGGCAUGGGCCUACCACAGAAACCACUUCUUUCUCCCUGUGUUUGAGAUGUCCCCUAGGCAACACCUUUUUCUGUUUGCCUGAGAGCUGAAUUUCUGGCAAGAAAGAGAACACCAUCCAGUGGUGACUGACGCUGGGAGCCGAAAACCUGCAGGUAGGCUUUUCUAGUAAUCUUCAUGGCUGCAACAAAGGACAGGGUGGGGAGUUUAAAGCACAACAUGGAGAACUAACCAGGCUUAUUUUACUUACCAAAGACUUUCCAUAUGCUCGAUUCCCACACAGAUUGGAAGAUUUGGGUUCCGAACUCCCCACUGCAAGGUUGAACAGAGGAGGCAUUACUCAGUGGUACUCUGUGUUCCACUUCCCCCCGCUUCUGCGUCAAUGAUCUCAUUAGCUAAUCAGUCACAAGCUGGGAAUUUCUAAAGCCCUUUGUGCCAAGCAGCAAGAUCGGGCAGGAGGGUCUGGCAACGGGACAACUGUCGAGUGGGUCACCUGCAUCCCUGGCACCCUUCCGGGUGUGGGAUGGGUAGUGAUGGUAGAACUAAUGUCUAAGAAGAUCAUAUGUGUGGAAGCAUUUAGUAUGUCUGCGGGAAGUAAGUGCUCAGAGAAUGUGCCCUUAGCUUGUCCUUCCUUCCUAAGGUGCCACAUCACAAGAGGUUAUCAGGAGUUCAGUCUUUGCUGCUGAGAUCGAUUUAGCUUGCUAAAUCUGUGCAGUCCUCUCUGGAAAUGAGCAGAGAAGCCUGUCUGCGGUGGGAGGCCCAGCUUCAUGAUGUGCGAGUGUUGGAGAUGAUCAGAGUCCUGAGACAUUGGCUACACAGGACUUAUGUGAGAACCUUCUUGCUAUGCCUUUAUUCCUGAAGCCCGACCUACUUCUGAGUAAUCUCUACCCUGCAGUCUUUAGCUUCUGAGAAACCAGGUGUUGAGCUGAGGGAGCUGGCAAUAGGUAGAGGAAAACUGGCUUUUGAUCUAGUCCUCUCCUUGGGCAGACAUUCCAGAACAAGCCCCAUCCUAUCACACUAUAAAAAUAGAGAUAAAACACUCCCCAACUCAAGGAAGAAAAC